Molecule: ribosomal RNA, 465 nt
Filed under: uncultured bacterium
Lineage: Bacteria
Description: partial 16S ribosomal RNA
Rfam family: Bacterial small subunit ribosomal RNA
Source: RNAcentral
GACGAACGCUGGCGGCGUGCUUAACACAUGCAAGUCGAACGGAAAGGCCCUGCUUGCCGGGUACUCGAGUGGCGAACGGGUGAGUAACACGUGGGUGAUCUGCCCUGCACUUCGGGAUAGGCCUGGGAAACUGGGUCUAAUACCGGAUAGGAGCCAUUUUUAGUGUGAUGGUUGGAAAGUUUUUUCGGUGUAGGAUGAGCUCGCGGCCUAUCAGCUUGUUGGUGGGGUAAUGGCCUACCAAGGCGGCGACGGGUAGCCGGCCUGCGAGGGUGGACGGCCACAUUGGGACUGAGAGACGGCCCAGACUCCGACGGGAGGCAGCAGUGGGGAAGAUUGCACAAUGGGCGCAAGCCUGAUGCAGCGACGCCGCGUGGGGGAGGACGGCCUUCGGGUUGUAAACUCCUUUCGCUAGGGACGAAGCUUUUUGUGACGGUACCUAGAGAAGAAGCACCGGCUAACUACGUG